AUACGUAGGUGACAAGCGUUAUCCGGAAUUACUGGGCGUAAAGGGCGUGUAGGCGGUCUUGUAAGUCAGAAGUGAAAUUCCCGGGCUCAACCGGGGCGGGGCUUUGGAAACUGCGGGACUUGAGUGCUGGAGGGGAGAGCGGAAUUCCUCGGGUAGCGGGGAAAUGCGAAGAUGUUAGGAAGAACACCCGUGGCGAAGGCGCCUAUCUGGUCAGUAACUGACGCUGAGGCGCGAAAGCGUGGGGAGCAAACAGGAUUAGAUACCCUGGUAGUCCACGCCGUAAACGAUGAGUUCUAGGUGUAGGGGGUAUCCCGCCCCUUUGUGCUGCAGUUAACGCAAUAAGGACUCCGCCUGGGGAGUACGGUCGCAAGGCUGAAACUCAAAUGAAUUGACGGGG
This 397-nucleotide ribosomal RNA is filed under the name uncultured bacterium. RNAcentral's name for it is "partial 16S ribosomal RNA". It matches the Rfam family "Bacterial small subunit ribosomal RNA", at positions 523 to 918 of the family's 1533-position model. The record is from RNAcentral.